UACAGAGGAAUAGCCUUUAGAAAUGAAGAUUAAUGCCUCAUAGUAUUGUAGACUGGCAUCAGUUUAUAAUUAAAGAUUUAUCGGUAAAAGAUGGCUAUGCGUCCUAUUAGUUAGUUGGUAAGGUAACGGCUUACCAAGACAGCGAUAGGUAGGGGUCCUGAGAGGGAGAUCCCCCACACUGGUACUGAGACACGGACCAGACUCCUACGGGAGGCAGCAGUGAGGAAUAUUGGACAAUGGAGGAGACUCUGAUCCAGCCAUGCCGCGUGUAGGAAGAAUGCCCUAUGGGUUGUAAACUACUUUUAUACAGGAAGAAACACUGGUAUGUAUACCAGCUUGACGGUACUGUAAGAAUAAGGACCGG
RNAcentral lists this ribosomal RNA (364 nucleotides) under uncultured Polaribacter sp. RNAcentral describes it as "bacterial SSU rRNA". It matches the Rfam family "Bacterial small subunit ribosomal RNA", at positions 134 to 496 of the family's 1533-position model. The record is from RNAcentral. Lineage: Bacteria; Pseudomonadati; Bacteroidota; Flavobacteriia; Flavobacteriales; Flavobacteriaceae.